RNAcentral lists this small RNA (90 nucleotides) under Terasakiispira papahanaumokuakeensis. Its description in RNAcentral is "Halomonadaceae bacterium PH27A t44 RNA". It matches the Rfam family "t44 RNA". Rfam says of the family: This family consists of a number of bacterial RNA genes of between 135 and 170 bases in length. The record is from Rfam by way of RNAcentral. Lineage: Bacteria; Pseudomonadati; Pseudomonadota; Gammaproteobacteria; Oceanospirillales.
ACCGCCCAUUAAAAACGUCACACAUGCACCGACACAUGUUCCUGGGUGCCUGCAAGUCAGGUUGGAGCAUGGGGUGUAUGGAGGCCCAAC